RNAcentral lists this ribosomal RNA (407 nucleotides) under uncultured bacterium. RNAcentral describes it as "bacterial SSU rRNA". It matches the Rfam family "Bacterial small subunit ribosomal RNA", at positions 28 to 416 of the family's 1533-position model. The record is from RNAcentral.
GAUGAACGCUGGCGGCGUGCUUAACACAUGCAAGUCGAACGGAGUGCCUUUGAAAGAGGAUUCGUCCAAUUGAUAAGGUUACCUAGUGGCGGACGGGUGAGUAACGCGUGAGGAACCUGCCUUGGAGUGGGGAAUAACACAGUGAAAAUUGUGCUAAUACCGCAUAAUGCAGUUGGGUCGCAUGACUCUGACUGCCAAAGAUUUAUCGCUCUGAGAUGGCCUCGCGUCUGAUUAGCUAGAUGGUGAGGUAACGGCCCACCAUGGCGACGAUCGGUAGCCGGACUGAGAGGUUGACCGGCCACAUUGGGACUGAGACACGGGCCCAGACUCCUACGGGAGGCAGCAGUGAGGGAUAUUGGGCAAGUGGGGAAACCCUGACCCAGCGACGCCGCGUGAGGGAGACGGUC